CGCCGCGCCACCGGCCCAGUGCGCCCCGGCCCAUCACAACGACUGCAUCUUUCCUCUAAUACUAAAACUUUACCGUUUGAAAGUACUUAAGAAGUGUUACUUGUGAAGUGUUUGCGACGGACUUGCAGCUAGGAACGAGGAUUCGACAAAUAGUUUCGAGAUGCCGUGGUGGUGUGAGAAUGUGCGGAAAAUGCCCCGGACUGCGGUUCUACUCGUCCUAUUAACUUUAAUUGCAAUACAACCUUGCGACAGCGCGCGACGAUCUGCUCAACGGAGAAGAGACUCUCGCCUAGAAGUGUCAGCGCCGGUGCCGAGCGCUGAAAGCCUGCAGGCCCUAGCGCAGGCGGUGGG
Molecule: long non-coding RNA, 351 nt
Organism: Papilio polytes (common Mormon)
Lineage: Eukaryota; Metazoa; Arthropoda; Insecta; Lepidoptera; Papilionidae
Exons: 5
Source: RefSeq, a predicted model, not a curated record